GUGUCUCCACUCAUUCCACCUCAGCCUGAUGCUUGGUGGAAGUUGAACAACUUCCUCCCUCAGUUGCUGACAAUUCUUUCUCAUCCUGCAAUAUUUUUAGAAUGUUCUGGGAUUGUGGGGAUCCUUGGAUGCAUUCAGCUUCUUGCUAAGUGUUGGGGCAAGCAAAACUCUGGCAGGAAAGAGAUGUUUUAUGUGUUGCUACUAAAGGAAAGUGGGAUAUAGAAGAGAACAAGAAGAAAGAGAAGAAAGACAAGGAAAGAAAAAUCUCUGUGUCAUGAUCUUGAGAAGAGGAGCUUAUCCUAAAGAGGUCCUAAAUGCAAUCACACAUAUUCUUAUAAGAAAGAUGCACCGAGAAAGACAUAGCGAAAAGGAAGAGGCGAUGUGACUAUGGAAGCAGAGAUUGGAGUGAUGCAGCCACAUGCCAAGGAGUAUCCACAGCCACCAGAAGUCGAAGAGGCAUUAUUCUGAAGACUUUAUAUGUGCUACUUCAUUUAAUUUCUGCAACUCCACUUGAACUUGGAAUCCAGUGAAGCAAAGCGAUUGCCUGUAUACGCAGAAACAUGCCACGAGGGAAACGUCAUGGGUGGGGGGCGUGUGUCAGGCAGUGAUAAUAACAUGGACCCAUGGAGUUCUGGAAAGAUCUGAAGAAGGAAGUUGUGCCUGGACCACUAUGCAAACUGGGUGCAAGAGCUAUAUAUGAGCAGCUUGCUGAUGCAUGUGAUUGCCAGGCAUGGGGCUGGACCCCUGCCCAGGAGUGGCAAGGACAGGUACCCAGGCCACAUAUGACUGUUGUGCAGCUGAUGUACUUGGCUUGCUACCUACCACCGAUAGUGAUCAUUCUAAGAUGCAAAACAAUGAACACACUCAAGCUGAUUUUGGAUUUGACCAUACACAUUUCUCAGAAGAGGGAGCUUUCCUGGAGAAGGUGAAGAAAGAGAAGGAUAUUUGGCAGUGCUGAUUGCAGCUCGCUCUAUGAGGACAUAUUCUCCUCAUCCACAGAAGCCCUUUUCAAACAUUACUAAGAAGUCUGAUAAGAAGAAAAAACAUCCACUGAUGGGUUCUCAGAAAGAAAGCAUUAGAUUUAACUACAGGGCAAUACUGCCCUGAUUACCACAGGCCCAGCUGACGGCAAGGUUGCCAGGCAGCUCUCGUCCUGCCAAGAAUGGUGGUGGAAUGAAGCAAGCAUGUGAUGCACGUGAUUGAUGACACUGUCACAAGUAUAUAUCAUCAUGGAAAUACCCAAAUAAGGUGUUUGAACACAUAUUUCUCAGAGGAGGAAGAUUUCCUGGAGAGGCUAAAGGAAGAGAGGAAGAUAUUUGGCAGCUGUUGAUUGUUGACCAUGACUUGUUGAAAAAGCUUGCAAAGGCAUCCUUAAGGAGUUUACAUUCUCCUAAG
This 1395-nucleotide long non-coding RNA is filed under the name Homo sapiens (human). RNAcentral's name for it is "HSALNT0114171". The record is from RNAcentral. Lineage: Eukaryota; Metazoa; Chordata; Mammalia; Primates; Hominidae.